AGACCAUGAUGAGGACAACACUGAAGUAAUUCUUUGUAUCUUUCCCAAGCUUCGUACAACAAUUCAAAAUCUUGCUGCAUAAAUGAUGUAAUAUUAUUCCUCAUUUC
This is a small nucleolar RNA of Theobroma cacao (cacao), 107 nucleotides long. It matches the Rfam family "Plant small nucleolar RNA R71". From Rfam's summary of the family: R71 is a member of the C/D box family of snoRNAs containing the C (UGAUGA) and D (CUGA) box motifs. The record is from Rfam. Lineage: Eukaryota; Viridiplantae; Streptophyta; Magnoliopsida; Malvales; Malvaceae.